This 254-nucleotide ribosomal RNA is filed under the name uncultured bacterium. RNAcentral describes it as "partial 16S ribosomal RNA". It matches the Rfam family "Bacterial small subunit ribosomal RNA", at positions 524 to 776 of the family's 1533-position model. The record is from RNAcentral.
UACGUAGGGGGCAAGCGUUGUCCGGAUUUAUUGGGCGUAAAGAGCUCGUAGGUGGUUCGGUAAGUCGGAUGUGAAAUCUCCAGGCUCAACCUGGAGGGGUCAUUCGAUACCGCCGUGACUAGAGGUCGGUAGGGGAGUGUGGAAUUCCUGGUGGAGCGGUGAAAUGCGCAGAUAUCAGGAGGAACACCCGUAGCGAAGGCGGCACUCUGGGCCGAUACUGACACUGAGGAGCGAAAGCGUGGGGAGCGAACAGG